UACGUAGGGGGCUAGCGUUGUCCGGAAUCAUUGGGCGUAAAGAGCGUGUAGGCGGCCCGGUAAGUCCGCUGUGAAAGUCGGGGGCUCAACCCUCGAAUGCCGGUGGAUACUGUCGGGCUAGAGUGCGGAAGAGGCGAGUGGAAUUCCUGGUGUAGCGGUGAAAUGCGCAGAUAUCAGGAGGAACAUCGAUUGCGAAGGCAGCUCGCUGGGACGUCACUGACGCUGAGACGCGAAAGCGUGGGGAGCAAACAGG
This 253-nucleotide ribosomal RNA is filed under the name uncultured bacterium. Its description in RNAcentral is "partial 16S ribosomal RNA". It matches the Rfam family "Bacterial small subunit ribosomal RNA", at positions 524 to 776 of the family's 1533-position model. The record is from RNAcentral.